CCUACGGGUGGCAGCAGUGGGGAAUAUUGCACAAUGGGGGAAACCCUGAUGCAGCGACGCCGCGUGAAGGAAGAAGUAUUUCGGUAUGUAAACUUCUGUCAGCAGGGAAGAAAGUGACGGUACCUGACUAAUACGCCCCGGCUACCUACGUUCCAGCAGCCGCAGGACUACGUAGGGGGCAAGCGUUAUCCGGAUUUACUGGGUGGAAAGGGAGCGUAGGCGGCGAUGCAAGUCAGAAGUGAAAGCCGGGGGCUCAACUCCGGGACUGCUUUUGAAACUGUGUUGCUAGAUUGCAGGAGAGGUAAGUGGAAUUCCUAGUGUAGCGGUGAAAUGCGUAGAUAUUAGGAGGAACACCAGUGGCGAAGGCGGCUUACUGGACUGUAAAUGACGCUGAGGCUCGAAAGCGUGGGGAGCAAACAGGAUUAGAUACCCCUGUAGUC
This 440-nucleotide ribosomal RNA is filed under the name uncultured bacterium. RNAcentral's name for it is "partial 16S ribosomal RNA". It matches the Rfam family "Bacterial small subunit ribosomal RNA", at positions 338 to 795 of the family's 1533-position model. The record is from RNAcentral.